Long non-coding RNA from Acanthochromis polyacanthus (spiny chromis), 2201 nucleotides. RefSeq lists it as uncharacterized. The transcript is spliced from 3 exons. Lineage: Eukaryota; Metazoa; Chordata; Actinopteri; Pomacentridae. The record is from RefSeq and is a predicted model, not a curated record.
UUAGAGAAUGACUCCAAGAGACUUUUUUGUUUGCACUGACAUGCUACAUUUGCAUGCCAAAUUUCAUAGUCCUAGCUGAAAGUCUCUGUGGAGGCUAUUUUUUAAAUGCUGUAGGGGGCGCGAUGGUACAUGCUGUGAAUGUAUUUUAGUCUAUAAAUGUGAUCAGGACAGGACUGUGUUUAAUCAUGUGAGGUCUGAGGUAGAUUGGAGCAUGCAGAGGAUAGUAAGAUACCACUUGAUGUUUCAUGGCGAACCAUCAAAAUUCUGGAGGUCGCCAUGUCCACACCCUUUGACUCUGGAAGAAUCUUUUAAUAACUUUUGAUCAUAACAUCGUGUUGUAUACCCUGGUAAAAUUUGAGGUCUCUGGGAGUUAACCCCGAGGAGGAGUUCGCUCUCAAAAAUUAAAAAAAUAGAGAAAAUUUAUCCACAUAAUUCAAAAUGGCGGACUUCCUGUUGAGUUUAGGGGAUGGCUCCAAGAGGCUUUUUUGUGCAUCGUGAUGUGCUCUAUCGGCCUCCCAAAUUUUGUGGAUGUUGGUGAAACAUGCUGCCGGGGCUGUUUAUUAAACAUACUGCAGGGGGCGCUAUAGCACAUGCCCUGCAGAGAUGCAUACAGUGUUAUUCCUUGAGACGACUGUGAUGUGUGUGUAAAUUUUGGUGAGCUGUUGAACAUUCUAAGCCUGUCAAAAAGUACUUUGUUUGUCACAAAAACAACGCGUUGCCACGGCAACAGCAUUUCAUCAAAUAUCAAAAUCUUCACACUGUGGUAUUGUCUGGGGGUGAAGAAUCAGCUGACCAAUUUUCAGAAUGAUAUGACAAAGUUUGGAGCAAUGAUGUGUGCAAAUGUAAUUUCUAAACUGCUUGUUACCAAGAGGUGGCGCUAUGACUUUUUCUAAAUUUUUCAGUGUGGAUGUCCUCAAACUGGUUCUGGUGUCCAGCACAUGAAGUUUGGGGCAGAUAGGAUCCUUUGCAGCUGAGAUAUGAACACUUCAAUUUUCAUGGCGAAACAUCAAACUUUGCCGUCCCGCCACAGACACGCCUUUUCAUCACACGUCACCAUUUUUUCUGUGCUUCAUCAUCAAUGUGUUCAGGCUUAUGUCACAACAUCUGAGGUGAAUCUGAGCAACAGGCUAAGAAUAGUACAUGAAAGUCUAAAAAAUGUCAAAUUCUUGAUACCACAAGGUGGCGCUGUGACUGUGAAUGAAUCUUGCUGUAUGGAUGUCAUCGAGGCAGGUCUGUGAUCAUACAUGUAAAGUUUCAUUCAGAUCGGAGCAUGUUCAGGAGAGUUACACAGCAUUUCCUGUUUCAUGGCGAAGGAUCAAAUUUCGACAGGCCGCCACGACCACACCCUUUAACUAUGGAGGAAGAUUUUGAUAACUUUUUCUCAGGAAGGUCUGCUGUAUGUACUGGCAAAAUUUCAGAUCGCUCAGACUUUCCCCUAGGAGGAGUUCAUCAUAGAUUUUGUACAGUUAACGCAUGAUGGCGCACUUCCUGUUGGGUGUAGAGCAUGGCUGUGAUUGACUUUUUUGUGUUUCCUGAUGUGCUGCAUAUGCCUCCCAAAUUUUUUAGCUCUCGGCCAAAUUCCCUCCGAGUUGGCCUAAUACCACUUUUUAAAAUUUUGUAGGGGGCGCUAUGGAGCCAUUUUGUCAUACACUACCACAAUUCCUUUAGAAUAUAAAAUUUUUCACCAGUUCUGGUGUGUGUACAAAUUUUCAUGAGUUUUUGAGCAUGUUUAGGCCCUCAAAAAUGCAGUUGUUCUGAGAGACAAAUAAUAAUAAUAAUAAUAAUAAUAAUUAAAGCUGCGAGCAGCGUUGGACGGGUCCUCGCAUCCUUGCUGGUCGGCGACCCCAAGCAUGUCCACCAGGCAAUGCUGCGACAAAGUGUAUUUAGGCUCAUGGAUGUAACGAGGACUGGAUUCUGAGCACUCAGGUCAAAUUUCAGACAGAUUGGAGCAUGUACAGACUAUUUUUGCAGCACUUUGUGUCCAUCCACCAGGUGGCGCUAUCUCUGUGACUGUAUAGUGGUCUAUGAAACUCAUCAGGACUGGACUCUGAUCAAACAUGUAAAGUUUGAGGCAGAUUACAGCAUGUACAGGGGAUUUACACAAGACGUCCUGCUUCAUGGCGUAACAUUAAAGUUCAGUUGGCCGCCAUGGCCAUGCCCUUUGAGUUUUGUGAACAAUUUUCACAAAUAUGCAACCUGAA